Molecule: unclassified non-coding RNA, 151 nt
Filed under: uncultured Ascomycota
Lineage: Eukaryota; Fungi; Ascomycota
Also listed under: 2 other names
Description: sequence contains ITS2
Source: RNAcentral
CACCACUCAAGCCUCGCUUGGUAUUGGGCGACGCGGUUAGCCGCGCGCCUCAAAUCUUCCGGCUGGGUCCGAGUCGUCCCUCAGCGUUGUGGAAACUAUUCGCUAAAGGUGCGCGUCUCGGUCACGCCGUUAAACAACCCCAAUCAUUAAA